UACGUAGGUCCCGAGCGUUGUCCGGAUUUAUUGGGCGUAAAGCGAGCGCAGGUGGUUUAUUAAGUCUGGUGUAAAAGGCAGUGACUCAACCAUUGUAUGCAUUGGAAACUGGUAGACUUGAGUGCAGGAGAGGAGAGUGGAAUUCCACGUGUAGCGGUGAAAUGCGUAGAUAUAUGGAGGAACACCGGUGGCGAAAGCGGCUCUCUGGCCUGUAACUGACACUGAGGCUCGAAAGCGUGGGGAGCAAACAGG
RNAcentral lists this ribosomal RNA (252 nucleotides) under uncultured bacterium. RNAcentral describes it as "partial 16S ribosomal RNA". It matches the Rfam family "Bacterial small subunit ribosomal RNA", at positions 524 to 776 of the family's 1533-position model. The record is from RNAcentral.